AUUGAACGCUGGCGGCAGGCCUAACACAUGCAAGUCGAGCGGAGCGGCGGACGGGUGGGUAAGGCCUAGGAAUCGGCCUGGUAGUGGGGGAGAACGACCGGCAGAGGGCGGUAAUACCUAAUGCUAUCAGAUGAGUCACUGUCGGAUUAGCUAGUUGGUGGGGGAAAGGCCUACCAAGGCGACGAUCCGUAACUGGUCUGAGAGGAUGAUCAGUCACACUGGAACUGAGACACGGUCCAGACUCCUACGGGAGGCAGCAGUGGGGAAUAUUGGACAAUGGGCGAAAGCCUGAUCCAGCCAUGCCGCGUGUGUGAAGAAGGUCUUCGGAUUGUAAAGCACUUUAAGUUGGGAGGCGUUACCAACAGAAUAAGCACCGGCUAACUUCGUGCCAGCAGCCGCGGUAAUUC
This 407-nucleotide ribosomal RNA is filed under the name uncultured bacterium. RNAcentral's name for it is "partial 16S ribosomal RNA". It matches the Rfam family "Bacterial small subunit ribosomal RNA", at positions 30 to 526 of the family's 1533-position model. The record is from RNAcentral.